This is a non-coding RNA of Molorchus minor, 71 nucleotides long. The record is from the annotation of a GenBank genome assembly. Lineage: Eukaryota; Metazoa; Arthropoda; Insecta; Coleoptera; Cerambycidae.
AUUGAAAUAGCUCAAUGGGAGAGCAUUAGAUUGAAAAUCUAAAGAUCCAGGUUCAAAUCCUAGUUUCAAUA